Molecule: small nuclear RNA, 258 nt
Filed under: Erinaceus europaeus (western European hedgehog)
Lineage: Eukaryota; Metazoa; Chordata; Mammalia; Eulipotyphla; Erinaceidae
Description: 7SK RNA
Rfam family: 7SK RNA
About the family: 7SK was discovered as an abundant small nuclear RNA in the mid-70s but a possible function has only recently been suggested. Two independent studies have found that 7SK RNA binds the CDK9/cyclin T complex (known as elongation factor P-TEFb).
Source: Rfam by way of RNAcentral
GGAUGUGAGGGUGAUCUGGUUGCAGCACCUGUCCCCCCACUGACCGCCAGGGCUGACUGGGCGUCGGGUGUUUUCUUCCUCACCGCUCUAGGCAGGGCCGCCUUCCCCGAACACAGACCACCAGUCUCGGGUCAAGGGUAUACGAGGGGUAGCUGUGCUCCCCUGCUAGAACCUCCAAACACGCACUCAAGAAGAAAAAGAAAAAACCCUAGAAUUACAUUCUAUUUAUUUAUUUAAUUUUGGAUUCAGAGAGAAAUU